GGACUGCCUUUUGCAUAAUGAGCCUGCGAGUUGUGGUGUCUGGCAAGGUUAAGCAAACGCGAAGCCGUAGCGAAAGCGAGUCUGAAUAGGGCGCUUAGUCAGAUGCUGCAGACCCGAAACGAAGUGAUCUAUCCAUGAGCAAGUUGAAGCUAGUGUAAGAACUAGUGGAGGACUGAACCCAUAGGCGUUGAAAAGCCCCGGGAUGACUUGUGGAUAGGGGUGAAAGGCCAAUCAAACUUCGUGAUAGCUGGUUCUCUCCGAAAUAUAUUUAGGUAUAGCGUUGUGUCGUAAUAUAAGGGGGUAGAGCACUGAAUGGGCUAGGGCAUACACCAAUGUACCAAACCCUAUCAAACUCCGAAUACCUUAUAUGUAAUCACAGCAGUCAGGCGGCGAGUGAUAAAAUCCGUCGUCAAGAGGGAAACAACCCAGACUACCAGCUAAGGUCCCUAAAUCUUACUUAAGUGGAAAACGAUGUGAAGUUACUUAAACAACCAGGAGGUUGGCUUAGAAGCAGCCAUCCUUUAAAGAAAGCGUAAUAGCUCACUGGUCUAGUGAUUUUGCGCGGAAAAUAUAACGGGGCUAAAGUAAGUACCGAAGCUGUAGACUUAGUUUACUAAGUGGUAGGAGAGCGUUCUAUUUGCGUCGAAGGUAUACCGGUAAGGAGUGCUGGAGCGAAUAGAAGUGAGCAUGCAGGCAUGAGUAGCGAUAAUUAAUGUGAGAAUCAUUAACGCCGUAAACCCAAGGUUUCCUACGCGAUGCUCGUCAUCGUAGGGUUAGUCGGGUCCUAAGUCGAGUCCGAAAGGGGUAGACGAUGGCAAAUUGGUUAAUAUUCCAAUACCAACAUUAGUGUGCGAUGGAAGGACGCUUAGGGCUAAGGGGGCUAGCGGAUGGAAGUGCUAGUCUAAGGUCGUAGGAGGUUAUACAGGCAAAUCCGUAUAACAAUACUCCGAGAACUGAAAGGCUUUUUGAAGUCUUCGGAUGGAUAGAAGAACCCCUGAUGCCGUCGAGCCAAGAAAAGUUUCUAAGUUUAGCUAAUGUUGCCCGUACCGUAAACCGACACAGGUGGGUGGGAUGAGUAUUCUAAGGCGCGUGGAAGAACUCUCUUUAAGGAACUCUGCAAAAUAGCACCGUAUCUUCGGUAUAAGGUGUGGUUAGCUUUGUAUUAGGAUUUACUCCGAAAGCAAGGAAACUUACAACAAAGAGUCCCUCCCGACUGUUUACCAAAAACACAGCACUCUGCUAACUCGUAAGAGGAUGUAUAGGGUGUGACGCCUGCCCGGUGCUCGAAGGUUAAUUGAUGGGGUUAGCAUUAGCGAAGCUCUUGAUCGAAGCCCGAGUAAACGGCGGCCGUAACUAUAACGGUCCUAAGGUAGCGAAAUUCCUUGUCGGUUAAAUACCGACCUGCAUGAAUGGCGUAACGAGAUGGGAGCUGUCUCAAAGAGGGAUCCAGUGAAAUUGUAGUGGAGGUGAAAAUUCCUCCUACCCGCGGCAAGACGGAAAGACCCCGUGGACCUUUACUACAGCUUGACACUGCUACUUGGAUAAGAAUGUGCAGGAUAGGUGGGAGGCUUUGAGUAUAUGACGCCAGUUGUAUAUGAGCCAUUGUUGAGAUACCACUCUUUCUUAUUUGGGUAGCUAACCAGCUUGAGUUAUCCUCAAGUGGGACAAUGUCUGGUGGGUAGUUUGACUGGGGCGGUCGCCUCCCAAAUAAUAACGGAGGCUUACAAAGGUUGGCUCAGAACGGUUGGAAAUCGUUCGUAGAGUAUAAAGGUAUAAGCCAGCUUAACUGCAAGACAUACAAGUCAAGCAGAGACGAAAGUCGGUCUUAGUGAUCCGGUGGUUCUGUGUGGAAGGGCCAUCGCUCAAAGGAUAAAAGGUACCCCGGGGAUAACAGGCUGAUCUCCCCCAAGAGCUCACAUCGACGGGGAGGUUUGGCACCUCGAUGUCGGCUCAUCGCAUCCUGGGGCUGGAGCAGGUCCCAAGGGUAUGGCUGUUCGCCAUUUAAAGCGGUACGCGAGCUGGGUUCAGAACGUCGUGAGACAGUUCGGUCCCUAUCUGCCGUGGGCGUAAGAAGAUUGAAGAGAUUUGACCCUAGUACGAGAGGACCGGGUUGAACAAACCACUGGUGUAGCUGUUGUUCUGCCAAGAGCAUCGCAGCGUAGCUAAGUUUGGAAAGGAUAAACGCUGAAAGCAUCUAAGCGUGAAGCCAACUCUAAGAUGAAUCUUCUCUAAGCUCUCUAGAAGACUACUAGUUUGAUAGGCUGGGUGUGUAAUGGAUGAAAGUCCUUUAGCUGACCAGUACUAAUAGAGCGUUUGGCUUAUCUUUAAUAAAGCAU
RNAcentral lists this ribosomal RNA (2336 nucleotides) under Campylobacter coli. RNAcentral describes it as "partial 23S ribosomal RNA". It matches the Rfam family "Bacterial large subunit ribosomal RNA", at positions 598 to 2925 of the family's 2925-position model. Lineage: Bacteria; Pseudomonadati; Campylobacterota; Epsilonproteobacteria; Campylobacterales; Campylobacteraceae. The record is from RNAcentral. RNAcentral also lists the same sequence under 1 other name.